This 305-nucleotide ribosomal RNA is filed under the name uncultured bacterium. Its description in RNAcentral is "bacterial SSU rRNA". It matches the Rfam family "Bacterial small subunit ribosomal RNA", at positions 335 to 637 of the family's 1533-position model. The record is from RNAcentral.
UGACCUACGGGGCGCAGCAGUGAGGAAUAUUGGUCAAUGGGCGGAAGCCUGAACCAGCCAAGUCGCGUGAGGGAAUAAGGCCCUACGGGUCGUAAACCUCUUUUGCCGGGGAGCAAGGGCGGGGACGUGUCCCGGCCCGGAGAGUACCCGGAGAAAAAGCAUCGGCUAACUCCGUGCCAGCAGCCGCGGUAAUACGGAGGAUGCGAGCGUUAUCCGGAUUUAUUGGGUUUAAAGGGGGCGUAGGCGGGCUUUUAAGUCAGCGGUAAAAAUUCGGGGCGCACACCCGGGCGGCCGUGGAAGCUGGG